GACCAUAGCAAGAAAUGACUUAAGCAUAGAAAAAGCAUUACUUUUGGAUCCCAAUAGGUGUGUCCAGGUUGCCCUAGAAAAAUCAUCAACAAUUGUAAGGAAAUAUUUGCAUCCAGAUGAGGUAGGAGUAUGAUAAGGUCCCCAAGUGUCCACAUGAAUCAGUUGAAAAGGCCUAGAGGUUCUAAUGGAGCUAUCAGGGAAAGGAAGCCUAGUCUGUCUGGGUGUCCACAUGAAUCAGUUGAAAAGGCCUAGAGGUUCUAAUGGAGCCAUCAGGGAAAGGAAGCCUAGUCUGUCUGGCCAUGGGACAGAUAGUACAGGGAAAAGGUUCUUUGGAAGCAAAAGGAAAAGACAGACCAGAAAUACAUUUCAUGUUUGCAAAAGGAAUAUGUGCAAGUCUUAAGUGCCAAAUGUAAUUCAUAUCAUAUGUAAGAUCAUUAUUACAAGUGGAACCAUUUACAUGAGAAUGUAAAGAAACACCCUUGUUAUCAGAUAAGAUAUCAUCAUUACAAGAAGAC
This 515-nucleotide long non-coding RNA is filed under the name Nicotiana benthamiana. Its description in RNAcentral is "long non-coding RNA (NBEN_LNC018230)". The record is from RNAcentral. Lineage: Eukaryota; Viridiplantae; Streptophyta; Magnoliopsida; Solanales; Solanaceae.